GAGGAGUGAGUGAGGAGUGAGUGAGUGAGUAGUGAGUAGUGAGUGAGUGAGUGAGUGAAUGAGUGUUCCCACAGUUCUCUUCCCCCUCAUUUGGUGCUCUGGACCUAUUGUGAGCACACGAAUGGCUUGCUGAGAGCCCCUUGUGCUGGUGUGAAGGAGUUCUCCAAACCGACUGCUUUCCAGCCCUAAUCCCUCGUCUUUUACUAUGGGUAAAGCUGUCGUGGCGCGUCCUGAAGAAACCUGCAGAAGAAAUGCUGGCCCGGUUCUCACUUAGCCGGGCUCCCGAGCGUGGCACUAAAGGUCAAUGCUUCACUCCUGUGGAACCCCAGCCCUCUUCUGCAUUCGUUUCCCUCUUCUUUCCAGUCCUCUAAUGUGAUAGACCGUGUGGGGAGAGGCAAGAGAGGGCGGGGGAGGAGUGUGUGAUGUAACCUCUGACUCCGGUGAAGUUCCGCGACAGCCCCGCGGUGCCUGCGGCUCACCGUGGGGUUUUGGUGCCGCCGCUGGGAGACUGAAGAGGAGGCAUGAAGAUCCACCAGGGCUGCGGGAGACCUAGCCUGUGACUCACCUCCCUUGUGGAGAGGAAAGCUGAGCCCAGGCUGCAGCUCCUUGUCUUGCCGGCUCUACCUGCGCCGCGACCGGCUGGGGACACCUCUGGAGAAAGGGAUGUUCGGAGGCAGCUGCGCUGCUGCGGUGAGUCUGCUCCUCCUUCCUGGCUUUUCCCGACGGUUUGGGGGGACAAGGAAGGGAAGCGGAGCGAGCUGGAAUGCGUGUGGAUUUUUGGGGGGACAAGGAAGGGAAGCGGAGCGAGCUGGAAUGCGUGUGGAUUUUUGGGGGGACAAGGAAGGGAAGCGGAGCGAGCUGGAAUGCGUGUGGAUUUUUGGGGGCAUAUAACCGUGUGGAAUCCCUGCUGGAUUGACUCUGAGCCAGUUGAUAAUCACCGACUAAUCUGGGUGCUGGCAGAGUCCAGCCGGAUUACAAGGGCAUGUGGCUGUGUGUUAAGAUGGGUGUGACACCUCCCAGGGGUCUCGGGUUUUGUGUCAGAGGGUCACCCCAAAAAAGGGGUCGACUGCAAAGAUCAACCACAGGAGAGAAAUUUUGGGGUGUCUGUCACUGACACGAUGUGGGGCGUGGAUGUCACAGUCUGUGAGGAGGAGUCAGAGGAGAAAACGUGCUUUUCUUAAUGCCAGCAGGAGAUGAAACUGGGAGGAAGCUGGUCCUGUAUAUCUGCUAAUGGAUCAGGUAGCUGUUGAAACUAACUGCAGAAAAGUGUUUUCUAGGAGAACUUCCGAGAGCCAUUGAAAACAUCUCCUUGCUAAAGGAAAGAAGAGGAAGAUCAUCAUAAUAUAACGUGGGAUGGCUUCAACUUGGCAGAAAACUCAGGAAUUCUACAACUGGAUUCUUGAAAGUGGAGAUCCAAGGACAGACCCGUGGCCACUGGUGUACUCCCCACUUCCUGUCACCCUGAUCUUCACCUCCUACCUCUUCAUGGUGGCACUGGGGCCGUCCUAUAUGUGGCAGCGGCAGCGGCUGGAGCUGCGGGCUCUGCUGCUCACCUACAACCUGGCCAUGGUGGCAUUAUCCAGCUACAUGUUCUACGAGUUUCUGGUUACUUCAGUUUUGGCCAACUACAGCUACCUGUGCCAGCCAGUGGAUUACAGCCGGAGUGAGCUGGGAAUGAGGCAGAUGGCAAGAGUGUGUUGGUGGUUCUUCCUCUCCAAAAUCAUCGAGCUGCUGGAUACGGUUUUCUUAAUUCUGCGCAAGAAACAAGAGCAGGUGACUUUUCUGCACGUGUACCAUCAUGGCUCUAUGCUCUUCAACUGGUGGUCAGGGGUCAAAUACGUGCCUGGAGGACAAGCCUUCUUUAUUGGGAUGCUGAACUCCUUUGUCCACAUCUUCAUGUAUGGCUACUACACUCUGGCCGGCCUGGGACCACGGAUGCACAGGCACCUGUGGUGGAAGCGUUACUUGACCAUCCUGCAGCUGUGCCAGCUGGUAGCCAUUGCUGCUCAUUCUUCCUACAACCUCUUCACAGAGUGCCCAUUCCCUGAUGGCUUCAACACCGCAGUCUUCGUCUACAUCCUCAGCCUCCUAGCUCUCUUCCUACACUUCUACUAUUGGACCUACAUUAGGCGAAAGCGGGAAAAGCUGAUUUAAAGGAAAUCAAAGAAGACAGACAGCACAGACUGAUGAACGUGCAUGUUCUCUGCUGCUUGUGAUGUGGUCUCAGGAAGAAAAUGUAUCUUGUGAGUGUGUGUCUUACCUUCAAAUAUCCCAGUUUAGGGAGAAGAAAGGAAUGAUGUAAACUCAGGGAUUAAGGAGCUGAGGAGCACACUUAAUUAAGAUGAGGCCAAGCUAAAACAAGUAGUCACCAGCAUAGCAGGCUUUGGGACAUUUGCCAGAUAAGGUCUUUUUCCCUUUCAUCUUUAGCUCAGUGUCCCAGGUCCAGCAGCCAGCUACAACUCCCUGCCUCAUUUCCUAGGCUGUAGAGGGUUUCUUUGCAUCCACAAAAGUAUCUCAGCUUGGUGUUGUAGAUCAGGCAGGGUCAUGUGCCUCCAGCCUGGAAAUCAAUGUCCAGGUAGUAGCAACAGCCAGAAAUCCACAGGGACUGCAGGAUGCGCUCUGCUGUACACUGCAUCCCACCCUGCCCUGCUAAGGGAGAUCCUGCUAGGCCUGAGGUGGUCCUGGUGGUUUAACUUAAUAUAAUUAUAAGCAGAAAGGAAACUGGACAUUAGGUUGUCUGGCUGGACAGGUGUCUUCACUGUCCUGAAGCUAAAGACGGCAUUAUUAGCACUUUAAUCCUAAUAAGAAACUGGUGUAGUAAGAGUCACCAUGUCCCAUUUUCUGGAAUGCUUAUUUCUUUUUGGUUGCUCUCAUAUCAAUAGAGUAUUUUAAUGCCUGAAGAUACUUGGUAUUGGUCCUUAUAGAUACCAUAAUUGAACUAGAAAGAAUAGAUUGAUAUUCCCUAUUCAUAACUUUUUUUAUCCAAUUUGUUAUUCUUUUUAAUACUGUUAUUUUUAAAUUUUGCUUCUUGUCAAACACAAGGAGUUGAACAACACCAUAAGCAACCACUUCCACUACCUAAUUGUAUAAGAAUUAAUACAAAAUGUAUAAAAUAAAUUCACUGAGUAGUGCAAAGCUGCAUAGCUCCAUUGAUUUUAAGAGAUCACUAAUUUGGCUUCUAUUUUUUUUCUCCUAAAUCAAUUACAGCUAGAAUCUGGCACUUAUAUUCAUCUGCAGACUGUUAAAUACUGUUAGAGUUUUGAUGUGGUAGUGCUUUGAAAGCCCUAAUUAAACUACAAAGUGGUGAUUAUUGAUUGAAUCCUGCUCAGUUGAUUAAAACAGGUAUUACAGAGUAGUGGUAUUUUGUGAAAUACAGAGGUGUUGGAGGAGAGGGUUGGAAUUAGUGAAAUGGUGCAUUGCUGUUGCCAAGGCAAAUCCAGCUGAAAUAUAAAGAAGUCCAACUCCACUGGGAAUGUCCAGAGGACUAGAGCUAGCCUGAACCUAGCAAAUGGAUGUACGCCAAAAGUCCUGUGUGCCCUACACCAAUCUGGCGUCAAGUGGCUACAAAAAAUAAAUUCAACUUGCUCCUCACUGCUCUGUGUUCAUACCCCAAAUGUUUCCUUCAGCCCCUCCACACACAUAGAAGAUAAAACAGCAUUCUGCCAUUCCUCACCCUCCUCCCCUUCACACACAGCCAGCCACAAGGGACUUGUUCACAUUGUCACAAGGACCCAUCACAAAUAUCCUUCCAUUGAUUUGAGCAGUCUCUCUUCUGAUUGUCAUUGGUGAGUAUGAAAAUCACUGCAUCUGUGCUAGUUGGUUUUCUUCCUGCCAAAUAUUUUUCCAUGCUAAUUAAUAAGUAAAUAGUGACACUUUUGCAUACUGGAGUUUAAUGGAAUUCUACUUUUGACAGAAUUUUAAGUAGCAAAUCCCUGGGUGGAUCCUUCAUCCCUCCCUUUGUUUGGAAAGGCAGGAAAAUGGGAUCUGCUGUGUAUCUAACAUAUUCAUGUGGAGGGUUUCCUCUGGGGGCUCUCCAGAGCUGAAGACUCCAUGCAAGGGUUUCUGCAAGGCUUUCAUCCAGGUGAAUUUGGGCAAGUCUUUCUUUGCACUAGCAUUAUCCCAUCUGGCUUCAAAUUCAGGAUGUGAACACUGAAACUUGAUACUUGGGCUAGAAACCUGAACUGGAACUUAAAUCCUGCAUGGUCCCUCCCAGGCAUUCCCUGCUAUUGAUGAAGGAAUGGCAGAAUGGAUACAACCAUAUGAGAGGCAGCAAGUUACUCCUCCUCUGAACACUUAAUUUUGCUCUGUGUUGUGCUCGCUAUCACAUUUAAAUAUAAUAAAUACAUAGUUAUUCCUGAGGCAAUAUUUGGAGGGAGAAUGCCUUGCAGGAGUUGAGAGAAUUGGAAAACCAAAAUAGUUUUUGAGUGUGCAAGCCCUUCUCUGGUUGUAAUCCCUGACAUGUAUUGGUAGCAGAUCAGCCGCUUCUUGCUGGGGUGCACAGGUCUAUCUGUGGUGUGUCUGUAUUUAUUACGGGUUUUGCUAGUCCCAAAGGAUGUUAUCCUAUGUUUUGCCGGUUUGAUAUGUUAUCUCACUAAAUAACUGUAAAUCAAAGGACCGUUAUUUUCAAAGAAGAACUUAUCUUCAAUGUUAUUUUGCUUCUAGAAAUUACUUGUGUGAGUAAAGCUGUCCUUUAAGUAAAGGUGGCAUGGUGGCAAAACAGGUUGGAAUUUCUCAGUUCUCAGUGCUCAGUUUUUGGAGAUAAAAUGCAAGCCACCACUUACCAAAACUGUUUAAUACAAUCAUGGUUUUCUAUUUUGGCACUGCUUUUAAUAUCAUUGUUCAUAUUUCAUACACAGAGGUAAUGUUUUAAAUUAAGGGAAAGCCACUAGUCACAAUGAAUCUAAAUGGAGUGUUUGAUGGAGCUAUGUGUAGUAACAUAAGGAUUUCGGAAAAAAUCUCACUGUGAUGCCAACUGGAAGGCAAAAUGGUCACACUCAAUUUUGUUAGAAAACCAGAAACUCCACAAGACUGGAGUGGUGCAUAUAUACCUACACGUUCUGUACAUAUAUAGUGUAUUUCCCUGCAGACCUUGAAUAGAAUGAAUGAGUUUGUGGGUUGAAUAUAGAAAGUAAGAUUUUGGCAUCAAUUGUAUUACAGAACUGUAAUUGAAGUCAUUGUGUAAAGCUGCUCGCUUCUCUCUAAAUAAAAGGUACAUCUACUGAAA
Parus major (Great Tit) is the source of this 5224-nucleotide RNA transcript. It is a transcript of the gene named elongation of very long chain fatty acids protein 4-like, with no coding region annotated. The record is from RefSeq and is a predicted model, not a curated record. NCBI's taxonomy places the organism in Eukaryota, Metazoa, Chordata, Aves, Passeriformes, Paridae. The transcript has 9 exons.